CAGUAGCCGCGGUAAAACGAGGGGUGCAAGCGUUAAUCGGAGUUACUGGGCGUAAAGCGUGCGUAGGCGGUGAGUUAAGUCUGCUGUGAAAUCCCCGGGCUCAACCUGGGAAUGGCAGUGGAUACUGGCUCGCUAGAGUGUGUCAGAGGAUGGUGGAAUUCCCGGUGUAGCGGUGAAAUGCGUAGAGAUCGGGAGGAACAUCAGUGGCGAAGGCGGCCAUCUGGGACAACACUGACGCUGAGGCACGAAAGCGUGGGGAGCAAACAGGAUUAGAUACCCCGGUAGUCCCUGUCUCUUAUAA
This 301-nucleotide ribosomal RNA is filed under the name uncultured bacterium. Its description in RNAcentral is "partial 16S ribosomal RNA". It matches the Rfam family "Bacterial small subunit ribosomal RNA", at positions 509 to 809 of the family's 1533-position model. The record is from RNAcentral.